Molecule: non-coding RNA, 26 nt
Filed under: Rattus norvegicus (Norway rat)
Lineage: Eukaryota; Metazoa; Chordata; Mammalia; Rodentia; Muridae
Source: RNAcentral
UGAGUGUUCGAAAUGCCGGUGCCUCU